CGGCACGGCUGGAGGCAGUGGCUCACCUGCUGCUCUUUGUGUUCUCUCCCUCUCUCUCUCUCUCUCUCUUCCUUUCUCUCUCAGUGGCAAGAUACACACCAGCAGCUCUAGCUUUCCUCUUGACCUACCAGGAACACCAGCGGACAGGACUAGACAGCCUCUCUUCACAAGAGUUCACAGCUGUCCUAGAAGUGAGUCUCUGGCUCACGGGGCCACAUGCUCACCCUGGAUGCCAUCUCUGUGGCCAGAGGGAUGGAAGAAGCCGAUUGCUCAGGCCUCAGUCACAUGCCGUCUCCUGGAGCCGGGAAUAAGGCCAUCCCCACAUGGACCGCACUGUAAGGGAGGAGGGGCUGCCUGGUGCUCGUGCCAAAAGAAAGGACUGCGCUGGCUGCUGUGUUGAGGAUAGAGCCGCUCUGUCCAUUAUGGAAGCUGUGAGCCACAUGCGGCUGUCGAAAGCUUGAACCAUGGCUGGCCUGAUUGAGAUGCGCUCUGCAUACAUGCACAUCGGAUGCUGAAGACUUACGAUGGGAGAAAGCAGCACUGCUCUAGACACUCCAGGCCGGGGGCAGAAGCUGGGAGACAGUUAGGAGCCCACAGCCAUAAUCCAGGCGAGAGGGGAUGGCAGCCGAGCCAGUGGUGAGCAGCGGUGGAAUUCUAGGCGUGUUGGGAAGAAGAGUUGGCGGCUGGACCACGGGACAUUGCUUCGUAGAUGUGUGUGGAACGAGUACUUGGCACAGGCCCUGCCAC
This is a long non-coding RNA of Equus asinus (donkey), 747 nucleotides long. NCBI's taxonomy places the organism in Eukaryota, Metazoa, Chordata, Mammalia, Perissodactyla, Equidae. The record is from Ensembl.